UUUCCCCUGCCAUACUGUGCUGUACCUAACUCGUUAGUAUCCCGCCUGGGGAGUACAUUCGCAAGACUGAAACUCACAGGAAGUGGACGGAAUAAGUUAGCGCCGGACGGUGGCCAUGGAAGUCGGAAUCCGCUAAGGAGUGUGUAACAACUCACCUGCCGAAUGAAUUGGCCCUGAAGAUGGAUGGCGCUCAAGCGUGCUACCCAUACCUCGCCGCCGGGGUAGAAAUGAUGCCCUGGCGAGUAGGCAGGCGUGGAGGCCCGUGACGAAGCCUUGGGGGUGACCCCGGGUGGGACGGGCCUCUAAUACAAAUCUUGGUGGUAGUAGCAAAUACUCAAAUGAGAACUUUGAGGACUGAAGUGGACGGAAUAAGUGAGAGG
RNAcentral lists this ribosomal RNA (380 nucleotides) under Scorias spongiosa. Its description in RNAcentral is "partial 18S ribosomal RNA". It matches the Rfam family "Eukaryotic large subunit ribosomal RNA", at positions 1089 to 1518 of the family's 3401-position model. Lineage: Eukaryota; Fungi; Ascomycota; Dothideomycetes; Capnodiales; Readerielliopsidaceae. The record is from RNAcentral.